UGUAAGCGUAUACCAAAGUUGUUGCAGUUAAAACGCUCGUAGUCGGAAUUUUGCAGUUCCGGAUGUGUGCACGUCGUGUGCGCACUUCGCGGGGAUUGCUUUUGUGGUCUUGCGUAGGAUGAGGCACUUUUAUUAGUGAACGUCCUCACGCAACCACUUUUUACUGUGAGAAAAUCAGAGUGCUCAAAGCAGGCAUUUGCCGUGAAUGUAUUAGCAUGGAAUAAUAGAAUAGGACUUGGUUCUAUUUUGUUGGUUUGUUGGGACUGAGUAAUGAUUAAGAGGGACAGUUGGGGGCAUUUGUAUUUCGGUGCUAGAGGUGAAAUUCUUAGAUUACCGAAAGACAAACUGCUGCGAAAGCGUCUGCCAAGGAUGUUUUCAUUGA
Molecule: ribosomal RNA, 382 nt
Filed under: uncultured eukaryote
Lineage: Eukaryota
Description: partial 18S ribosomal RNA
Rfam family: Eukaryotic small subunit ribosomal RNA
Source: RNAcentral